AAACGUUCAGGUCGCUAUCCUUGGACAUCCAACGACUUCAACGAGUACCCUAACCUCGUAAUAGGCCUUCCGUGGAGCACGUUGUUCGUACCGAAGGCGCGCUCAUGGCGGAAAGGUGUGCGAAAGCUCCCGCUACACGUUGCAAAGUCCAUGUCUCUGCCGAACGCAACGAACUCCGACGAUGAGUCAUGCCGUCAGUCAGUUUGCCGCAGAGCUGAUUAUCGUGUAACGAUUCUGAUAUAAUUCUCGGUCGUUAAAGAACGCCGGGAUAUUGUUACGUGAUAAUUACACGAUAACAAGGCAUCCGUUAUUUUACGUGGCCAUCUACGUUGUUUCUAACGUAACGCGUUUACGAGCGUCGAGGCGCCUGGCUUUCACGCUCAAGAAUGCAAAUGGGUGCAUCCUUAUCGGAUUGACUUUGAGAUACUUGUCGACACACUUUCGCUGCUGGUACUGCUUCUACUUUGAUUUUCGAAAUCGAACCGUACGGAUACACCUUCCUAUGGUGCUUCCCAUUACGGUUAUUCCCCGGCGUGUUAAUCAAUUCCCAGCGUAGAAUGGGAAGUUCGCAUCGUGUAAGUUGGACGUUAGAGUUUUGGCCGUUAUGCGUGACGCCUGUACGGUGUGUCCGUUUGUUUUGCGCCGCGACCCGCCUGCCGGGCAUGAUGAUGUUUUCAUACACGUUGAUGAUAGUCUCCAAGCUUUGUCGAAUAAAAGUCAGAGAUUCUCCAUACCAAAAUGUGUUUCUGGUCAUUCGCACUUGUGAUGGCGGAUUUAGCAUGACGUGCAGUGAGAGAGCGCGAGAAAAAGCCGUUGAAGAUGCACGCAAUAAAGUCAUUGGAAUUACGUUUGGAUCCCGGUUGGAAACUAGGGCUAUCAAGGAAAAACACAAGAAAAUUCUUUUCCUUAUUACUUCCUGUAGCGUGGUGUAGAGAAAUGUAUUGUUUCUGGUGAAAGUUCACUACGAGCAUUGUUACGUUAAAGUCGUGUAAAAAGAUCUGUCGAUGGCUCGAAAGAUCGGUUUUAUUAACUCGACUGUAUUUCUACUGUGGAUUCUCAACGUAGUGAAAUGAUGACAGGUAACGAGGAGAAUUAUUCUGCGAGGAGUAACGGUAUCGUUCGUGCUGUUUUGAUGACCUCCAGUUAAUCAAGUUUAUGAGGAUUUCAUUCUGAGAAACGUAUAGCACGCUGGCUUUCAUUGCUGUUUCCAGAUCGGACGUUUGAUUUUCGUAACGGAUUUUUCAAAAUGAUACAUAUACCUUGUCUCCAACUUAAUCAAACGCACUUUGUUAUCGGUUGGAGUUAUGCUAAUAAUUUUUUUAUCUAUGCGGACAGCCUUCUCUGUAUAAACUGUUAACGUGGAAGAGGAGUUACGAUGGAUCGGCUAUAUUUUACCUCUGGAAUAUGUCAAGGUCUCGCGCUGUACUAAGUAAUCUACUUAUCGCGGAGUCAAUAUCUUGUAAUGGAGAGCACGUGGAUAAGGUAUAAGUUUGGAGGUGCUUUGUGAAUUCGGCUUAAGAAUUUCGUGCCAAGAUGUUAUUAACAACUGUAGUUCGAUUUGCAAGGUCGCAAGCGUCAACAAAAGUUGUGAAACUUCUAGGAUGAUCGUGAAAAAAAAUUCGUUGAGUUACGUGCGUCAUACUUGACGAUACAGACGUACGAUUGUCAGGGUGAAUAGUAAUAAAUUGUACGAAUACGAUAUUUCGAAAAUCCUAACAAUUUCGUAUAAUGUAAACAUCGCUUACAUGAUUCUCGUAAACUGUCAAAAUCUAACACCGGUUCAUAUAACUGUUCAAGAGAAAUUUUAAAAUUACGGAUUUACCUAUUACCCAACUGUAUAGACGAUCGGGCAGUUUUGAUCGAAGCUACGAGACAUGACAAACCGCCAAAACAAUUUAUAUGGAUAAAAAUAAUUGAUUCAGUGUCCGAUCGUUCACAGCAGUGAUCAUGAUCAACGAAGCGCUAAAUGAUCUUGUAUAAAUCUACUUGAAUGAGCAAAUAAAUAGGCCUCUUGUAUAUACAAUACAUACAUCCAUUA
Long non-coding RNA from Cephus cinctus (wheat stem sawfly), 2038 nucleotides. RefSeq lists it as uncharacterized. The transcript has 3 exons. The record is from RefSeq and is a predicted model, not a curated record. NCBI's taxonomy places the organism in Eukaryota, Metazoa, Arthropoda, Insecta, Hymenoptera, Cephidae.